This 485-nucleotide ribosomal RNA is filed under the name uncultured bacterium. RNAcentral describes it as "bacterial SSU rRNA". It matches the Rfam family "Bacterial small subunit ribosomal RNA", at positions 341 to 842 of the family's 1533-position model. The record is from RNAcentral.
ACGGGAGGCAGCAGUGGGGGAUAUUGCACAAUGGGGGGAACCCUGAUGCAGCGACGCCGCGUGGGUGAAGAAGCGCCUCGGCGCGUAAAGCCCUGUCAGCAGGGAAGAAAAUGACGGUACCUGAAGAAGAAGCCCCGGCUAACUACGUGCCAGCAGCCGCGGUAAUACGUAGGGGGCAAGCGUUAUCCGGAUUUACUGGGUGUAAAGGGGGCGCAGACGGCGAUGCAAGCCAGGAGUGAAAGCCCGGGGCCCAACCCCGGGACUGCUCUUGGAACUGCGUGGCUGGAGUGCAGGAGGGGCAGGCGGAAUUCCUGGUGUAGCGGUGAAAUGCGUAGAUAUCAGGAGGAACACCGGUGGCGAAGGCGGCCUGCUGGACUGCAACUGACGUUGAGGCCCGAAAGCGUGGGGAGCAAACAGGAUUAGAUACCCUGGUAGUCCACGCCGUAAACGAUAAUUACUAGGUGUCGGGGAGCAGAGACUGCCCG